Molecule: ribosomal RNA, 497 nt
Filed under: uncultured bacterium
Lineage: Bacteria
Description: partial 16S ribosomal RNA
Rfam family: Bacterial small subunit ribosomal RNA
Source: RNAcentral
GAUGAACGCUGGCGGCGUGCCUAAUACAUGCAAGUCGAGCGAACAGACGAGGAGCUUGCUCCUCUGACGUUAGCGGCGGACGGGUGGGUAACACGUGGAUAACCUACCUAUAAGACUGGGAUAACUUCGGGAAACCGGAGCUAAUACCGGAUAAUAUAUUGAACCGCAUGGUUCAAUAGUGAAAGACGGUUUUGCUGCCACUUAUAGAUGGAUCCGCGCCGCAUUAGCUAGUUGGUAAGGUAACGGCUUACCAAGGCAACGAUGCGUAGCCGACCUGAGAGGGUGAUCGGCCACACUGGAAGUGAGACACGGUCCAGACUCCUACGGGAGGCAGCAGUAGGGAAUCUUCCGCAAUGGGCGAAAGCCUGACGGAGCAGCGCCGCGUGAGUGAUGAAGGUCUUCGGAUCGUAAAACUCUGUUAUUAGGGAAGAACAAAUGUGUAAGUAACUAUGCACGUCUUGACGGUACCUAAUCAGAAAGCCACGGCUAACUACGUG